GGAGUCUAGCAUGUGCGCGAGUCAUUGGGACACGACUAAACCUAAAGGCGCAAUGAAAGUAAAGGUCCGCCUCGCGCGGACCUAGGGAGGAUGAGACGGUCUACGGAUCGACUCCGCACUCCCGGGGCGUCUCGCUCUCAUCGCGAGAAGAGGCGCACCCAGAGCGUACACGCUGGGACCCGAAAGAUGGUGAACUAUGCCUGGUCAGGACGAAGUCAGGGGAAACCCUGAUGGAGGUCCGUAGCGAUUCUGACGUGCAAAUCGAUCGUCGGAACUGGGUAUAGGGGCGAAAGACUAAUCGAACCAUCUAGUAGCUGGUUCCCUCCGAAGUUUCCCUCAGGAUAGCUGGCGCUCGUUGAGCGAGUCUCAUUCGGUAAAGCGAAUGAUUAGAGGCAUUGGGGUCGAAACGGCCUCAACCUAUUCUCAAACUUUAAAUGGGUGAGAUCUCCGGCUUGCUUGAAAAGUGAAGCCGCGAGAUAUCGGAUCAGAGUGCCAAGUGGGCCACUUUUGGUAAGCAAAACUGGCGCUGUGGGAUGAACCAAACCCCGAGUUAAAGCGCCUAAAUCGACCCUUAUGGGAUACCAUGAAAGGCGUUGGUAACUUAAAACAGCAGGACGGUGGCCAU
RNAcentral lists this ribosomal RNA (625 nucleotides) under Aegialia crassa. RNAcentral's name for it is "eukaryotic LSU rRNA". It matches the Rfam family "Eukaryotic large subunit ribosomal RNA", at positions 670 to 1255 of the family's 3401-position model. Lineage: Eukaryota; Metazoa; Arthropoda; Insecta; Coleoptera; Scarabaeidae. The record is from RNAcentral.